Pantherophis guttatus is the source of this 841-nucleotide non-coding RNA. NCBI's taxonomy places the organism in Eukaryota, Metazoa, Chordata, Lepidosauria, Squamata, Colubridae. The record is from RefSeq and is a predicted model, not a curated record.
CUUCGCGCGCAGCAACAACUGGGCGGCAGCUCAGCCGCGCGCACUCCGCUCGUCCGCGGCCGACUCCUUAGUGCAUGCCUGCCACGCGCUUCGGCCGUGCGUAGAGAACCUGCUUCCGGGGUGGUUCAGCAAAGCUUGACGAUCACCACCGUGCGUUGAGAGCCCGUUGCCGGUAGGACUCAGCAGGGUGUAUUCUUCUUGAACCUCAACACCAAGGGCCGGUCAGUUGUUGUCACCUGGUAUGUGACUGGAUCACUUUGGUCUGCGGGCUUCAGUCUCGUCCAGUGGAUCCAGGACCGUCCUCCUAAGAUCUUAAAAGCACAAUUACAAAACCAAUACAUCUGGGAGAGCGCGCAAAGGGAUCUGAGCAGUUGUAGUCCUCUUCAGUUGGGAAACAGCAUAGGCAACCUACUCAAUCCUAAGAAAGAAAAAAAUACAAAAAUAGUCCAGAUGAUGAAGAACGCUAUUCCCACUGGUUACUGCCCACCAGUCCCUUGGAUCCUUUGGAUCAUCAACUUCAAUGUAUCUCCUUGGUGAGAUUCCACCUUCCACUCCUCUGGCACGGGCCCGUUCACUUGGGGUUUAACUUCCUUCCAGCAGCAUCCAAUCAUCGUGGUGGAAUUUAUGGACUGGAAACUUCAAAGGUGGUGUUUGGGCUAAUAGUCCUUGUUUCCUAAAAACUUUAAAAUAUCUGGACAGUUUAUACACAUAUUGUUUCAAUACUUUGUCUCUGGUUUCCAGGAAAUUAAUGCAUAUGCUUCUUGUAGUGAAAACUACUCCAAACAACAGUUCAUAUGAUGAUAAUCUUUCUAGGUUGGGUAUAAUAAAACUCUUGACACCA